CGGAGUGUGGUACAGUGGGUAAGUGAAACCGUUUGUAACUGAAAGGUCGCAGGUUCGAAUCCUGCAACUGCCG
RNAcentral lists this transfer RNA (73 nucleotides) under Anguilla anguilla (European eel). RNAcentral's name for it is "tRNA-OTHER". The record is from RNAcentral. Lineage: Eukaryota; Metazoa; Chordata; Actinopteri; Anguilliformes; Anguillidae.